GUUUGCCUACGGGGGGCAGCAGUAGGGAAUCUUCCACAAUGGGCGAAAGCCUGAUGGAGCAACGCCGCGUGGGUGAAGAAGGUCUUCGGAUCGUAAAACCCUGUUGUUAGAGAAGAAAGUGCGUGAGAGUAACUGUUCACGUUUCGACGGUAUCUAACCAGAAAGCCACGGCUAACUACGUGCCAGCAGCCGCGGUAAUACGUAGUUGGCAAGCGUUAUCCGGAUUUAUUGGGCGUAAAGGGAAAGCCGGCGGCCUUUUCCGUCU
This 265-nucleotide ribosomal RNA is filed under the name uncultured bacterium. Its description in RNAcentral is "partial 16S ribosomal RNA". It matches the Rfam family "Bacterial small subunit ribosomal RNA", at positions 333 to 590 of the family's 1533-position model. The record is from RNAcentral.